AUUGAACGCUGGCGGCAGGCCUAACACAUGCAAGUCGAACGGUAACAGGAAGAAGCUUGCUUCUUUGCUGACGAGUGGCGGACGGGUGAGUAAUGUCUGGGAAACUGCCUGAUGGAGGGGGAUAACUACUGAAAACGGUAGCUAAUACCGCAUAACGUCGCAAGACCAAAGAGGGGGACCUUGGGCCUCUUGCCAUCGGAUGUGCCCAGAUGGGAUUAGCUAGUAGGCGGGGUAACGGCUCACCUAGGCGACGAUCCCUAGCUGGUCUGAGAGGAUGACCAGCCACACUGGAACUGAGACACGGUCCAGACUCCUACGGGAGGCAGCAGUGGGGAAUAUUGCACAAUGGGCGCAAGCCUGAUGCAGCCAUGCCGCGUGUAUGAAGAAGGCCUUCGGGUUGUAAAGUACUUUCAGCGGGGAGGAAGGGAGUAAAGUUAAUACCUUUGCUCAUUGACGUUACCCGCAGAAGAAGCACCGGCUAACUCCGUG
RNAcentral lists this ribosomal RNA (489 nucleotides) under uncultured bacterium. Its description in RNAcentral is "partial 16S ribosomal RNA". It matches the Rfam family "Bacterial small subunit ribosomal RNA", at positions 30 to 507 of the family's 1533-position model. The record is from RNAcentral.